Girardinichthys multiradiatus is the source of this 2873-nucleotide long non-coding RNA. RefSeq lists it as uncharacterized. The record is from RefSeq and is a predicted model, not a curated record. The transcript has 5 exons. Lineage: Eukaryota; Metazoa; Chordata; Actinopteri; Cyprinodontiformes; Goodeidae.
AAAGGAGGCCCUACACCAUACUAAUAAACGAUUGUGGUCUAAAACCAGGUAUUUCAGUUUCAUUGUCCAACCCCUGUAUUUCACUGUGAUCAAGAUGUGAGACUUUGAAAGCCUUUUACUCUCACUUGAAAACACACAUUAAAGAGGGGAAACAGUUACUUGUCCUUAUAGACACUGUAGCAAAAGCUUUACAAUCUUAUUGACAUUCACAUCACACAUGAGUCGGAAACAUAAAAAUGGUACUGAGGAAAAUCUGUUUGAGUCCAUUGUGAAUCCUGGUGUUUCCUAUGAGAGUGAACAAUAUCAGUCUGAUAUGCAGAUUGAUCCUUCUGUCAAGGAUGUCAUCUCUGAAGGUGAAGAUAAUGAGGUGGCACUUCGUGUUCAGCUGGUCAUGGCACACUUUGGAGAGGACCUAAGCGGGCUGAUCCUUUUUGCAGAUGUGUAUGCCACAGCAGCUGACAUUGAGGCAACUCUUAGCCUUCCUGCAAGUCCUCGGCUGAUACUUAAUGGUGCUUCAUUGGCAUAAAUCCAGAGAGAGGGACAAAGGCCAAAAGAGGCAAGAUUGUCUCCAAGAAGAAAGGUGUGAUCAUUCAGAAGACGUCUUCUGCAGUCAACACACACGUGUCCAUGCUACUGAAGAACCUCCUUGACUUUGAAUGGGACUUCAUAUAGAUCAUGGCAACACUAUAAUAAUGCUAGAGAGGAACUAACAAACUGAUGUUCGUCCCUCCUGGAUCCACAAGACUUGAAUCAGGGCCGUUCACAUCCACCCAGACUCCCACAGGAACUAAGAACGGCUACUUGGCUGUAUUUUCUGGUCCAGGUGUGAAGUCUCAGUCUUCGCCAUGCCACAUCUCUCAGAGGAGCGGCAGCAGUGGCGCCGGGGCAUCGACCUUUAGACACAACUACUGUAUCACUCAACAAUCUUCCUUCAAACGAUCCCCUGCCACCCCACCCCUCCGUCUUCCUCCUCCUGCCCUUCUUUAGUCAUCCUCCUUCUUCCUCCGAUUAUUAAGAUGAGGAUUUAUUUGUGUCGCCUAUGCUUUCACCAACGUUACUUACCCUCAGACAGCUGUUGUUGUUGCCGGUUACUGGGAUUUGGGCUAUCUGAAAUCAGAUGGACAUGAUUAUUUUUUUAAUGGCUCCACCCAGACUCUAUCCUCUGUUGAUUGGUUAUAAAUUGUCCGUUGCUGUGACAAAAGGUUUUGCAGGAUGCUUUGGCAGAACCGGACAAAAGCAAAGUAAAACAAAUCACAGCAGGCUUCCUAUCUGUUGUCUGGUGGGACAGAGGUCUGCCUUUAGUUCUGUUCAUUGGUGGGGAAUGGGAAUAGACAACACAAGGGCCUUGAUGAUUAAUCCAUCUAUAAACUUUUUUUUCUCCACAGUCUGCUCAUUAGAGCUGCUGUGCAUAAAUGCAUUAAGGUUUUAGUGAUGCUGAAAGGUUGCUUGUGCAAAUAGAAGAACAUCUUUGGUGUUUAAGAGUGACAGGUUCCAUUUGGACAGAGCUGGAGGCGUUUUGCAGAGCAUCCAUCUUACCCAGCAUACCACAUACUGCUCCCACAGCAUUCUGCUCAUGUUUUCUCUCCUAAUUACCCACCUGUGUGUCAUAUUAAUUGCUGUUGAUGUUUUCCUCUCAUGUGUGGCCUCAUGUUGUAAGCCACACACCAUGCACACAGAGAUGACCCUUACAUUUAUGUUUUGCUGGUUGUUUUUUUUUUUGUAUUUCCCUCUUUUCAGUUAAAGGCCAGCCUUCAGUGAUAAUUCAGUUACUGUGUUGAGGGGAAGGACUUUGCACAAGGACAGAAAUGAGCAGCAGCAAUGUGUGUUGCAGGGCUUUGAUCUUUAAUUGUGACGGAGUGCUUGAUUGUCUUUUUAAGUGAUGCUUGUCUCACUUGGGGAGUGUGAGGUGUGUAUUCUUGUUGUUUAGGUGUUUGUAGGGGUCCGACAGUUGUUUGAUGUGUGUGUUAAGCUGUCAGACCACAUGUCCUGUUCAGAGACAGCUGGCUCUUCUGAGUGCUUUACUUGUGAUCUGAAGAAAUCUGCCUUGAAUUUAUCCUAAAAUACAUGAUGUGAAACAGCUUAUGUAAACACCUGAGCCAACAUUGACAGCUCUGAUGUUAAUCAGCCCCCUGGGCAAACAAUAAGCAAUCCAGACCAGUUAGAAUACUAAUCAUAUCAAGGCUAAUACUCACUUUUAAUUAUCAGCUCCUGUUAAAGCUAACACCUCCAACAGGUCCUAAAUGUUCUGCCAUUUGGGCUUCAUUAGCCUAUUCAGUACUUUUCCUUUAGCUGAUAAGGUAAAUGACACCAAGUUGUUAAAAAUAAAGCCCCCCAGGCUCAGGGAGUUUCAUGUGUUUUUACCUCUAUUUUAAAUGAGACCCUACCUUAUGAGGAAUUGUGGGCAAUAUAGGAAACAAAUAUUUCUGAGACAACUUUGCAGCAAAGGACAAGGAACCUGGUCAGAGUCACUGGGAAGAUGGAUGGAGGAAAAAAGGGCAAACAUGGAACAAAACUUGAGACAGUGCAACAACUGAAUAAAUAGUUUAGAUCAAAGCAUACCCAUAUGUUAGAAAAGCCCAGUCAAUGCCUAGACCUGAAUUAAUCUGACAAUUGGUGGCAAUAAUUUAAAAUUCCUGUUCACAAGGGCUCUCCAUCCAAUCUGACUAAGCUUGAGCUAUUUUGCAAACAAGAAUGUGUGUAAAUGUCAGUCUCUAGAUGUGCAAAGUUGGUAGAAACAUCCUUUCAGAAGCCUUGCAAUUGUAACUGCAGAAGAAAAGGUGGUUCUAAAAAGUUUUGACUCAGGAUAGCUGUAUACAAAUGCUUGAUAUUCUUUCCAGAUUGAUAUUUGUAAAAAAUAAAAAUAAAAAACUAUG